This 371-nucleotide ribosomal RNA is filed under the name Metilia sp. MN614. Its description in RNAcentral is "partial 12S ribosomal RNA". The record is from RNAcentral. Lineage: Eukaryota; Metazoa; Arthropoda; Insecta; Mantodea; Acanthopidae.
AUACCCUAUUAUUUUUAAUGUAAAAAAUAAAGACUGGAAUAUUAAUAGAAAUGAUCUUGAAAUUUAAAGAAUUUGGCGGUAUUAUAGGUCUAUUUAGAGGAAUCUGUUAUGUAAUCGAUAAUCCACGUUGAACCUUACUUGUAUAAAUUCUUGUAUAUCGCUGUUAUAGUCAUAUUUAUAGAUUAUUAAAAAAAAAUGAAAUCUUAUAAUUUCAAGUCAUGGUGCAGUAAUAAUAUACAAGAAAGUAAUGGAUUACAAUAAAUUGUAUUUAAUACGGAUUAAAAUUGAAAUAAUUGAAUUGAAGGUGGAUUUAAUUGUAAUAAUAUAAAGAUUAAUAAUUUGAUUAUAGCUCUGUAAUAUGUACACAUCGC